Myxocyprinus asiaticus (Chinese sucker) is the source of this 366-nucleotide long non-coding RNA. RefSeq lists it as uncharacterized. Lineage: Eukaryota; Metazoa; Chordata; Actinopteri; Cypriniformes; Catostomidae. The record is from RefSeq and is a predicted model, not a curated record. The transcript is spliced from 3 exons.
UUACAACCAUCAGGUCUGGAGGAGAGUUCUGCUGGACUCCUGGAGUCUCACUGAAUCCUCUGUUGUCUGCAGACAGCUGGGCUGUGACUCUGUACUGAACUUCUACGGCUCCUCUUCAUCCAGUCCUGAACACAGUCAUGAGUGUGUGAUGGGCUUCCAGUGCUCUGGGAGUGAAGCUCAUCUGGGGAACUGCAGCUCUCCACAAACUCUCACCUGCAGCUCCACACAACAGCUGUCAAUCACCUGCCUUGGUCGUGGGUCCAUCAGGCUGGUGGGUUCUGGAGGAGACUGUGCAGGGAGGCUGGAGGUUUUUCACAGUGGCUCAUGGGGGACAGUGUGUGAUGACUCCUGGGAUAUUAAAGAUGC